CGACAGAAGAAGCACCGGCUAACUCCGUGCCAGCAGCCGCGGUAAUACGGAGGGUGCGAGCGUUAAUCGGAAGUUACUGGGCGUAAAGACGCAUGCAGGUGGUUUGUUAAGUCAGAUGUGAAAGACCCGGGGCUCAACCUCGGAAUAGCAUUUGUAAACUGGCAGACUAGAGUACUGUAGAGGGGGGUAGGAAUUUCAGGUGUAGCGGUGAAAUGCGUAGAGAUCUGAAGGAAUACCGGUGGCGAAGGCGGCCCCCUCGGACAGAUACUGACACUCAGAUGCGAAAGCGUGGGGAGCAAACAGGAUUAGAUACCCUGGUAG
This 321-nucleotide ribosomal RNA is filed under the name uncultured bacterium. RNAcentral's name for it is "bacterial SSU rRNA". It matches the Rfam family "Bacterial small subunit ribosomal RNA", at positions 479 to 793 of the family's 1533-position model. The record is from RNAcentral.